UCUGCCCGAUGGAGGGGGAUAACUACUGGAAACGGUGGCUAAUACCGCAUAAUGUCUCAGGAGCAAAGAGGGGGACCUUCGGGCCUCGUGCCAUCGGAUGUGCCCAUAUGGGAUUAGCUAGUAGGUGGGGUAAUGGCUCACCUAGGCGACGAUCCCUAGCUGGUCUGAGAGGAUGAUCAGCCACACUGGGACUGAGACACGGUCCAGACUCCUACGGGAGGCAGCAGUGGGGAAUAUUGCACAAUGGGCGCAAGCCUGAUGCAGCCAUGCCGCGUGUAUGAAGAAGGCCCUCGGGUUGUAAAGUACUUUCAGUCGGGAGGAAGGCGUUUGAUGCUAAUAUCCAUCAACGAUUGACGUUACUCGACAGAAGAAGCACCGGCUAACUCCGUGCCAGCAGCCGCGGUAAUACGGAGGGUGCAAGCGUUAAUCGGAAUUACUGGGGCGUAAAGCGCACGCAGGCGGUCUGAUUAAGUUAGAUGUGAAAUCCCCGGGCUCUACCUGGGAACUGCAUCCUAGACUGGCCAGCUAGAGUCUUGUAGAGGGGGGGUAGAAUUCCAUGUGUAGCGGUGAAAUGCGUAGAGAUCUGGAGGAAUACCGGUGGCGAAGCGGCCCCCCUGGACCAAGACUGACGCUCAGGUGCGAAAGCGUGGG
This 651-nucleotide ribosomal RNA is filed under the name Providencia vermicola. RNAcentral's name for it is "bacterial SSU rRNA". It matches the Rfam family "Bacterial small subunit ribosomal RNA", at positions 125 to 765 of the family's 1533-position model. Lineage: Bacteria; Pseudomonadati; Pseudomonadota; Gammaproteobacteria; Enterobacterales; Morganellaceae. The record is from RNAcentral.